CGCACGGCAUUUACACACUCCAACGCACGCACACGAGGCCAACCAUGCCGACAGGGCAACCAAAAAGCUGCGAAACAAUUCCAAAGAAGCGCCAGCCCAAACUGGCCCCCCUCCCGGCCGGCGUGGGGAGCUGCGACGAGCGAAUUUUCUAAGCGCGCCCCGGGCGGUGAAAGGCGCCGGGGAACAGGAGGAUCGGAAGCAGUGACUUACAAAAGGUUGGCCCAAAAGCGGAGAGAGGUUAAUCACACUCUCCAAACCCCGCUUUUCAUUUUUACAUCGACGCUGCUCGAUGGCCUUGCACACCCAGCCGGGCCGGGCUCGGUAUUCCCUGGUACGUACGCCUGGGACGGGAUAUCACCGGCAUGCCGCGUGCGCUUCCCCGCCAUCAUCGUCCCCUGCUACGUACGACGGCGCGUCGAGAGAAAUGGAAAUUAGCAGGAGCACGUGCCGGGCGUAUCUGGUCCGUCGGUGCUGCCACUUGUCGUCGUUUUGCCGGAGCCGAUGGCCCUGCCCCCAAACUGUCAUUCCUCUAUCGCUCUCCCGAGCGGCUCGGACGGCCACCUAGCCCCCCGUCGCUAGCCUUCUCUUCCUCCUCAAUGACGCCGGAUAAGGCCUCCAGACAGAAGCGCAUGGCAGAUGGUGAUGGAAGUGUCUCUCUAGUUGGCGUCUAGGAUCGGAGUAGCGGAUUGUGGAUGCACCUUGUGGUUCUAAGACUGCUUCGGAUCCAACUCAAAGGAGAUGAGACACACAUGGCAGAUGAAGGUACUGGCACACCUUCUCCUACCUUCCUCAAUGUCACUUUUCGACUUUGCUGGUAGUUGUGGUGGUGGAUUGCGAGACAUUUCGUGACGACUCACGAGUUUAGGAACGUUAUAGUUGUGGCUUUGGAUUCGCGAGGCAUUUCGUGACGACUCGCGAGUUCAGAAACGUUAUAGUUGUGGCUACGACACUUUUUCAACGACCACCAUUGACAAUGUGUGUAGAUCCAUGCAUAAUGUAGUGUGUGGAUUGUCUCGCCAUUUUGACAAAGUUUGGUGAUGUUAACUACCAAGAGACCAUAUGUU
Long non-coding RNA from Brachypodium distachyon (stiff brome), 1064 nucleotides. RefSeq lists it as uncharacterized. Lineage: Eukaryota; Viridiplantae; Streptophyta; Magnoliopsida; Poales; Poaceae. The transcript is spliced from 2 exons. The record is from RefSeq and is a predicted model, not a curated record.